GAUAAACGCUGGCGGCGUGCAUAACACAUGCAAGUCGAACGAUGAAGAUUAAAAGAUUUCUUCGGAAUGAACUUAAUUGGAUUAGUGGCGGACGGGUGAGUAACGCGUGAGUAACCUGCCUUGUACAAGGGGAUAGCCGUUGGAAACGACGAAUAAUACCCUAUGACAUCAAAUAAUCGCAUGAUAAUUUGAUCAAAGAUUUAUCGGUAUAAGAUGGACUCGCGUCUGAUUAGCUAGUUGGUGGAGUAAAAGCCUACCAAGGCAACGAUCAGUAGCCGGCUUGAGAGAGUGUACGGCCACAUUGGGACUGAGACACGGCCCAGACUCCUACGGGAGGCAGCAGUGGGGAAUUUUGCACAAUGGGGGAAACCCUGAUGCAGCGACGCCGCGUGAUUUAGAAGGCCUUCGGGUUGUAAAAAUCUUUUGUAUGGGAAGAAAAUGACAGUACCAUACGAAUAAGGACCGGCUAAUUACGUG
Molecule: ribosomal RNA, 477 nt
Filed under: uncultured bacterium
Lineage: Bacteria
Description: partial 16S ribosomal RNA
Rfam family: Bacterial small subunit ribosomal RNA
Source: RNAcentral